UUUUUUCUGAAUUGUUGUUUUUUCAUCCUACUGUACUAUAGUUGUAACACUGCAUGUAGCCCUGUAAUGUGUUCAUUAUUUUACAUGGAUACAUACUUUCUCUUGGGCUUGAAGAACUCCAUAAAUUGAAGACCAGAUAAAUUCUAUUGUGCAGCUUGGAUGAAGAACUGUCAUUCAUCUUACAAAAAAUGAAUUCACUGCAGAUGGUGAGAAGACAGGGGAGACAAACACAACAUCAACCGACAAAAUGCCUUUCUGAUGUUCCAGGGAGUGGACUGCAGGAGUGUGUAUCUGGAGCUGCACGUAGAAGGAACUCGAUUACAAAGUGCUGACAGGAAGAAUGUAAACUACUGUGAUUCACCCGAUUCACUGUCAGUUCAUUGAUUCCCCAGAUAACCAGGGUGCAAGGAGUUGAGACCUCAUCUGAAAAAAAAAGCCCAGUGCUCAUUUUUACAACUUCUAACAAGCCUGAAAAAAAACAUGUUUUCUUACUACACAAAUACAUGCUGUGAGGCAAUAGAAUUGUAAAGUGUAAUGUGACCUCACCAGGAGAAUGUAGGGAAGUGAAAAAGCAAACACAAUACUUGAUUACUGUAUAUAAUUCCUGGUUUUUGGCACAUAGGCAGGCUGGUAAAUGAAUUGGUUUCUGGGAAAACUGGCCCUAAUGUGAGUGUGGGCGUGUUUGAAUCUGUUUGUCUCCUGCGAUGGAAACGGGUGGAUGUUAUUAGCUUAAAAAGUGCUCAAGAAGCGCAUCAAAAAUCAUUUCUUGUGGGACGUUGUCAUAUACGGUAUGCUCACGAUAAAGGAAUUUGAUUUCCUUAGUUUAGAAUAAGGGAGAUCAAGAGGAGAUUAUAUGAAGGUCUGAGGAGAAUGAGAUAGGAUCCAAUUUAUCCACAAAACAAGGGCACAGGGCUCACAAGUGGAAACUGAGAAGAUCAUUCCUUUAGGUUGGAGAAUAGCAAACAGCUCUUUAAACAAAGAUAUGUGGGUAGUCUGAAGCCCCAAACCCCUUCAAGAAUCAACUGGUUGAUAUUUUCUGCAUCUAGC
RNAcentral lists this long non-coding RNA (1047 nucleotides) under Lepisosteus oculatus (spotted gar). Its description in RNAcentral is "lncRNA (ENSLOCG00000021562.1)". Lineage: Eukaryota; Metazoa; Chordata; Actinopteri; Semionotiformes; Lepisosteidae. The record is from RNAcentral.